Molecule: unclassified non-coding RNA, 243 nt
Filed under: uncultured Hymenoscyphus
Lineage: Eukaryota; Fungi; Ascomycota; Leotiomycetes; Helotiales; Helotiaceae
Description: sequence contains 5.8S rRNA gene
Rfam family: 5.8S ribosomal RNA (bases 1-53)
Source: RNAcentral
GAACGCACAUUGCGCCCCGUGGUAUUCCGCGGGGCAUGCCUGUUCGAGCGUCAUUUAAACCAAUCCAGCUUGCUGGGUCUUGGGCUCUCGCCUCCGGGCGGGCCUAAAAAUCAGUGGCGGCGCCAUCCGGCUCUACGCGCAGUACAUCUCCUCGCUACAGAGCUCCGGGUGGAGGCUGGCCAACCAACCCCCCAUUCUAUAAGGUUGACCUCGGAUCAGGUAGGGAUACCCGCUGAACUUAAG